This is a long non-coding RNA of Hevea brasiliensis (rubber tree), 802 nucleotides long. RefSeq lists it as uncharacterized. The transcript has 2 exons. Lineage: Eukaryota; Viridiplantae; Streptophyta; Magnoliopsida; Malpighiales; Euphorbiaceae. The record is from RefSeq and is a predicted model, not a curated record.
AAAAUAAAAAAAAUCAAAUAAAAAACGGGAGGGAACCCCCCCCCCCCCCAAUUUUCUCUUCUCUCCCUCUCCUUCCCUCUCUUCUUCUUUCUUUUUCUGGUUCCGAGCAUCUCCCCACCUGGCCGGCGACUCUCCGAUGACGGCAAGAGCCACCAGAAACGGCGGCAAGAGAGGGAGGAGAGAGAGAAAACGCGUGCACAGUGGGCAGCGGCUUUCCGGCGUGAUUCCGGCUUCAUCCGACGUCCGAUCGAGGCGAUUCAGGUGGCGUUGGAAAGCUUGUUCCGAGAGCUUUCUUUUGAUACCCAUUUUGCAGCAAAUGGAGGUCGGAUGAGUGAGAUAUGGAGGAGAGAAGUUUCGGGUUUUUCAAGCUUUUUCGUCAGAUCUAUGACGAUCCGACCUUUGGAUCGACGAUCCGAGACCACCUAUGGACUGAGGAAGAGGAAGAGGAACAUGGUGGUAUGAUCAGAUCCCGCAAAUGUCGCCGGCGACCGGCGGCCGGCCACCGUGCGCGGUGGUUUCGGCGGUGGCUCCGGUGGGCUAUGGAGAUGAUUCAACUUCCAGAGGCUUUCUCGUAAAUUUUUGAAAUUUUUGAGACACAGAUAAACUUCGAGCCACAGGAUGAGUUAUUUUACAGAGCAACCUGUUUUCUUCCUCGCAGGUUUAACGUCGAUUAUUUAAUUGUUUUAUUAUUUUUUCUAAAUUUAAAAUCUAGAACUCCGCAUGUGUUAGUAAUAGUGUGGACCUUGUUAGAAAUUGUGUUAAUUUAAAUUUUUGAAAUUAAUAAAUGAAGAUUUGUACGGUA